GAUGAACGCUAGCUACAGGCUUAACACAUGCAAGUCGAGGGGAAACGACAUCGAAAGCUUGCUUUUGAUGGGCGUCGACCGGCGCACGGGUGAGUAACGCGUAUCCAACCUGCCCACCACUUGGGGAUAACCUUGCGAAAGUAAGACUAAUACCCAAUGACAUCUCUAGAAGACAUCUGAAAGAGAUUAAAGAUUUAUCGGUGAUGGAUGGGGAUGCGUCUGAUUAGCUUGUUGGCGGGGUAACGGCCCGCCAAGGCGACGAUCAGUAGGGGUUCUGAGAGGAAGGUCCCCCACAUUGGAACUGAGACACGGUCCAAACUCCUACGGGAGGCAGCAGUGAGGAAUAUUGGUCAAUGGACGAGAGUCUGUACCAGCCAAGUAGCGUGCAGGAUGACGGCCCUAUGGGUUGUAAACUGCUUUUAUAAGGGAAUAAAGUGAGUCUCGUGAGACUUUUUGCAUGUACCUUAUGAAUAAGGACCGGCUAAUUCCGUG
This 492-nucleotide ribosomal RNA is filed under the name uncultured bacterium. RNAcentral describes it as "partial 16S ribosomal RNA". It matches the Rfam family "Bacterial small subunit ribosomal RNA", at positions 28 to 507 of the family's 1533-position model. The record is from RNAcentral.